RNAcentral lists this transfer RNA (71 nucleotides) under Candidatus Magasanikbacteria bacterium RIFCSPHIGHO2_02_FULL_41_13. Its description in RNAcentral is "tRNA-Gln". It matches the Rfam family "tRNA". Rfam says of the family: Transfer RNA (tRNA) molecules are approximately 80 nucleotides in length. Lineage: Bacteria; Candidatus Magasanikiibacteriota. The record is from RNAcentral.
UCGGGGAUCGUCUAAUGGUAGGACGGCAGUUUCUGGAGCUGCCUAUCUUGGUUCGAAUCCAGGUCCCCGAG